ACAUGCGGAGAACUUUCCAGAGAUGGAUGGUGCCUUCGGGAACUCUGACACAGGUGCUGCAUGGCUGUCGUCAGCUCGUGUCGUGAGAUGUUGGGUUAAGUCCGUAACGAGCGCAACCCUUGUCCUUAGUUACCAGCACGUUAUGGUGGGCACUCUAAGGAGACUGCCGGUGACAAACCGGAGGAAGGUGGGGAUAACGUCAAGUCAUCAUGGCCCUUACGGCCUGGGCUACACACGUGCUACAAUGGUCGGUACAAAGGGUUGCCAAGCCGCGAGGUGGAGCUAAUCCCAUAAAACCGAUCGUAGUCCGGAUCGCAGUCUGCAACUCGACUGCGUGAAGUCGGAAUCGCUAGUAAUCGUGAAUCAGAAUGUCACGGUGAAUACGUUCCCGGGCCUU
This 397-nucleotide ribosomal RNA is filed under the name uncultured Pseudomonas sp. RNAcentral describes it as "bacterial SSU rRNA". It matches the Rfam family "Bacterial small subunit ribosomal RNA", at positions 984 to 1382 of the family's 1533-position model. The record is from RNAcentral. Lineage: Bacteria; Pseudomonadati; Pseudomonadota; Gammaproteobacteria; Pseudomonadales; Pseudomonadaceae.